AUUAAAUUUAACUUAAUCGUGAAAGUUAAAAUAUUGCAAUAUGUUUUUUUAUCCAAAAAAAUAAUGCAUAAAAUUAGGUGUUAAAGAUUUCUCAUUUCUGAUUUCAUUCUCAUGGAUAAUGUUUAAAUAUGAUGACAUAACACACCAUAUAACUGAGAUUCAUGAUUGAUUUCUUAACAUGCAUCACCAACUGAGGCUUUUUUUUAUUUCGUUUAAUAUUGUUAACUUUAAAAAUGUCAAUAGAUAACUCUUAUUUUUUUGUUUACAGACCUGAAAAUUUGACCUGGUCCGAUUGGGUUUCAACAAAUUUUAAUUAGGUUCGCGGGCGGUUACAGCGAACCUCAGGUUCGCACCAGUUGUCAAAAAGUGAGAAGAUCGAUUCAGGAUCAAUUUAAAAUGUGAUUUAUUAAUUAAAAAAAUUGUUAAGAACAUUGUGUUUUAUUACAAAAAGUUUAUGAUCCUUUUAGUUGUGUCGUGAUCAGAAUACGGACAUUAAGUUAAGCCGUUCUGGAGAUAUCUCCUAACAAACAUACAUCCAAACAUUCGCAUUUAUAAUAUUAGUAAGAUUUAUGGAAUGGUGGGAAAUGGGAGCAAUAGAUUAAUACAAAAUAUAUUUUGGGACCAAUUUAUUAACAUUUCAAAGUAACAUUAUCACGACUUGUCUUUUUAUAACACAGCGGUCAGAUCUAAACUCUAAAAAAAUAUACACAUCGUGAAAAAUAUGUCUCAAUAAAAUCGGUCCAUCUCGUAACUGUUUAUAAAUUCUAUAACAAAAUGGACAUCCCAUUGUACUGUUUGUUUUAAGUACGCCAACUUAAGUAGUAAUACGAUUUGUGAUUUCUUUUUCUAGACCAAAAAUGAGGCUACAGGCUGUAAGACAUUGUUUUACUCAAUUCUUGCA
This is a long non-coding RNA of Papilio xuthus (Asian swallowtail), 901 nucleotides long. RefSeq lists it as uncharacterized. The transcript has 2 exons. Lineage: Eukaryota; Metazoa; Arthropoda; Insecta; Lepidoptera; Papilionidae. The record is from RefSeq and is a predicted model, not a curated record.